This 24-nucleotide non-coding RNA is filed under the name Arabidopsis thaliana (thale cress). Lineage: Eukaryota; Viridiplantae; Streptophyta; Magnoliopsida; Brassicales; Brassicaceae. The record is from RNAcentral.
UCCAAGAUGUGCAAUCCAUAUGGU